GAGCCCAGGGAGCGAAGAUAGAGGCCAAACUGGCCCAAAAACAGGUGCACCUUGUAGUAGCUUGGACAUCAGCAGGAACCGGAAACAUAGAAUGUGAUGGCAGAUAAGAACCAUUCAGCCCAUCUAGUCUAUCCAAUUUUCUAAAGACUUUAAUUAGUUUCUGGCCUUAUCUGAUAUCUAGGUUAUCCUUAUGCCAAUUCCACGCAUGCUUAAACUCCCUCACUGUGUUAACC
This is a non-coding RNA of Pelobates cultripes (western spadefoot toad), 233 nucleotides long. The record is from the annotation of a GenBank genome assembly. NCBI's taxonomy places the organism in Eukaryota, Metazoa, Chordata, Amphibia, Anura, Pelobatidae.